GGGGAUGCACAGGAUUUGAUUGAGUCCGAUUUCGUGNNGUAGCAGCUUAAUUUAUUAACGCUGCGGAUCCCGUUUCUUUUGCCCGGAAGGGUUUACGGGGUCUAAUAAAUCCGGGAAGAGGUCAUAUCAGCAAUAGCCCUGUUGAUACACCGGGGAUGAAAAAUCCAAAGAUCUUAGCUUGCGGUAGGGCAGAAAAGGUUCUUCAAGCACCCGGCUCUAUCUAAGAUAAGCUUGGAUAAGUUUGUAGAAGCUGCAUGAGAAGUUCUCAAGACGGGGGUUCGAUUCCCCCCAUCUCCACCA
RNAcentral lists this transfer-messenger RNA (300 nucleotides) under candidate division WWE3 bacterium. It matches the Rfam family "transfer-messenger RNA". From Rfam's summary of the family: Bacterial tmRNA, also known as 10Sa RNA or SsrA, is named for its dual tRNA and mRNA-like properties. Its role is to liberate the mRNA from a stalled ribosome. The record is from RNAcentral. Lineage: Bacteria; candidate division WWE3.